RNA transcript from Cygnus olor (mute swan), 3407 nucleotides. It is a transcript of the gene named leucine rich repeat transmembrane neuronal 4, with no coding region annotated. Lineage: Eukaryota; Metazoa; Chordata; Aves; Anseriformes; Anatidae. The record is from RefSeq and is a predicted model, not a curated record. The transcript has 6 exons.
CAAAAAAAAAAAAAAAAAAAAAGCACUUGGAUUAAAAAAGGAAAAGCAAGCUGCUUUCAGUAUGUUUACAGUCAGAUGUGGUGCGUGUAAUUAAGUUUCUUUUCUGUGAAUGAUCAGUUUGGGCAUUUCCUGACCCCCCUUCCUUUAACAUGACUUUCACUUUUAAUCUGCAGACAUCCCUGUUCCUGUUCUCACCCCGUGAAUGCAGGAAAACAAAAACAGUUCCGAAUUUGCCGAAGACAAAUAUUCAGUGGAGGGCACUCAGUGUAUCACAAACUAGAACAUUAGCACCAACAAGCUCCAAAGCAUCAUCACUCUCUGGAAAGCCUUCUGAAUUAGACAAGAGCUGCCUCUCAGCACAGCUACAAAACACUUUAAACCUGACCAGCUAAAUGGAGAAACCUUGCCUGCGUAGCUUUUAAACCGGGCUCUCCCCCAGCACGGGAGGCCUGCCUGCUCCGGGAGCUGGGAAGCCGGAGGAUGGAUCGCUGUGGCUGGGAAUGGCAAAAGGCAGCAGAAUGAGAGAUGCUAGGGAACUUUGUGUGGGUUACUGGCAUGCACGCUGGAUGGCGGUGAUGUGAGUGGCAACCGUGCUGUGACAUGAAGAUGCUGCUGGUUUAAGGCAAAAGAGACCGGUUUGAAAAAGAGAGAGGCAAAGGGAAGGCAAAAAGGGAAGAGAGAGAAGAAAACAGCUGGAGAGAGGAAAAGGAGGGCAUUUGUUGAUGACAAAAGGAUGGGUUUCCAUUUAAUUAAGCAGCUGAGAGGCAUGAGUGUGGUGUUAGUGCUACUUCCUAUGGUGCUGUUUGUUAUGCUUGCGGGGGCUCAGCGAGCUUGCCCCAAGAACUGCAGAUGCGAUGGCAAGAUUGUGUACUGCGAAUCUCACGCAUUCAGAGACAUCCCUCAGAAUAUUUCUGGAGGGUCUCAAGGCUUAUCGUUACGGUACAACAGCAUUCAGAAGCUUAAAUCAAAUCAGUUUGCGGGCCUGAAUCAGCUCAUAUGGCUUUAUCUUGACCAUAAUUACAUCAGCUCCGUGGAUGAGGAUGCAUUUCAGGGGAUCCGCAGGCUGAAGGAAUUAAUUCUAAGCUCCAACAAAAUUACCCAUCUGCACAACAAAACGUUUCACCCAGUCCCCAACCUCCGCAACCUGGACCUCUCGUACAACAAGUUGCAGGUGUUGCAGUCCGAGCAGUUCAAGGGCCUCCGUAAACUCUUGAUCUUGCAUUUGCGGUCUAACUCGCUGAAGACCGUCCCGAUCCGAGUUUUCCAAGAUUGCCGAAACCUCGAUUUUCUGGAUUUAGGCUACAACCGCCUGCGGAGCUUAUCCCGUAAUGCUUUCGCUGGCCUUUUGAAGUUGACGGAGCUCCAUUUGGAGCACAACCAGUUUUCUAAGAUCAAUUUUGCCCACUUCCCACGCCUCUUCAACCUUCGCUCGAUUUACUUGCAGUGGAAUAGGAUCCGGUCUAUCAGCCAAGGGUUAACGUGGACUUGGAGUUCCUUGCACAACUUGGAUUUAUCAGGAAAUGACAUUACAGGGAUAGAGCCCGGGACGUUCCAGUGCCUCCCCAACCUCCAAAAGCUGAACCUGGAUUCCAACAAACUCACCAACAUCUCUCAGGAGACCAUCAACACGUGGAUCUCGCUCAUCUCCAUCACUCUGUCCGGAAAUAUGUGGGAAUGUACUCGAAGCAUUUGCCCUCUGUUCACUUGGCUAAAGAAUUUCAAGGGAAAUAAAGAGAGCACUAUGAUAUGUGCAGGCCCUAAACAUAUCCAGGGCGAAAAAGUGAGCGAUGCCGUGGAAACAUAUAAUAUCUGUGCUGAAAUCCAGGUGGUGGUUACUGAGAGAUCCUAUCAGGCGCCCAAAACCCCUCAGAGACCCGUCUUUAUUCCUAAACCCACCGUUUCCAAACUUGAAAGCAAUCAGCCAACAUCCGUGAUGCCGAGCCCUUCUGCAGACCUCCCGACGCCUGCAGUGGAGCCAGAGUACGAGCAUGUUUCCUUUCACAAAAUAAUCGCGGGGAGCGUGGCCCUCUUUCUUUCCGUGGCCAUGAUUUUGUUGGUUAUCUACGUGUCGUGGAAGCGCUACCCAGCCAGCAUGAAACAGCUCCAGCAGCACUCUCUCAUGAAGAGGCGCAGGAAAAAGGCCAGAGAGUCUGAAAGGCAAAUGAACUCCCCUUUACAGGAGUAUUACGUGGACUACAAGCCAACAAACUCUGAGACCAUGGAUGUAUCCGUUAAUGGAUCUGGGCCCUGCACGUAUACCAUCUCUGGCUCCAGGGAAUGUGAGGUUCCUCACCACAUGAAGACUUUACCCUAUUACAGUUACGACCAACCGGUGAUCGGAUACUGCCAAGCCCACAAGCCUCUCCAUGUAAAUAAGGGGUACGACACCAUGUCCCGGGAGCAGGCUGAGACGACCAACCUGGAACUCAGUCGAGACCACAGCUUCAUAGCUACGAUUGCGCGUUCGGCUGCUCCAGCCAUUUACAUUGAGAGAAUACCAAACUAAUGACGGAGGCGACUUCUUCAGGGGGCGGAGUGGGGAGUUCUUUUGAGGGACCUUUCAUCUCAGAAGAGACCAGGGCAAGAAGCUAAAAUCUACCAUUCCAGUUACAAAUGUUCCAACACAGACAAAGGGAAGGGGAUAAAGCAAACUCCGCAGACUGUGGAAAUGCUGUCGUGCAGUACACACUGAGAACUUCAGGAUUUUCUUUGCUUUAAACUUUCAAACAAAUUCCUCAAUGUAAAUAUUAAAGAGAGAUUGUCGAGUUCUUAUUAAAAAAAAAUAGAUUUCACUCUAGCUACAUAAAGGGAUGGAUUAAGAGUUUUGUUUGUAUAUUUGAUUUUUCUACAUUGCACGGUUCCAGGGAAGGAGAACCACAGUGGUCAAACGCUAGUAUUUCAAACCAGACAUGGGCAUUAAAGCUUAUGUUGAACCAAAAGGACAUUGGCAAUUGAUGCAGCAGAAACAAAGAAACUUGGGUGCAUGUACAUUUAAGAGACAGGCUGUACACUAUGGAGGGUGCUUUUGAUUUUUACUAUCUUCAUUGUGCUUCAUUGUUGACACUAUAAUUACUUUUCGGGCUCUAAAAAAAGGGGAAAACAUGCAAAUGGUGUAUCGACUCUCAUAUUUACAGUCCAGCGGUGCCGUAAGCAAAAUUAAUGGACAUUUGGGAACCAAAAUGGAAGUGAUGUGCUUGAAAUGGAUCAGAAGGAAAAUCUUUAAAAGCAAGAGUGUUUUGGUGAAACUCACUGGCUGACACAAUUUCUAAAACACAGGAGAAUGUGUAACAUUGUUUUUUGUUUUUUUAAUUAAUUAUUAUGAUCAGUUAGUUUUUGUGUAGUUUUUAUCAAUAAAAUGACAACAACAAAAAAAAAGUGGUGGAAAAAAAAUAAACAUAUUAUUUUGU